UUUGGACCGACUAGGCAAAUCAGAGUGGAGCUGGUGCAACUGGUCAUCGAUGGAGUAAACUAUUUGAUUGAUUGUGAACGGCGUCUGGAGAGAGGCCAGGAUAUCCGCAUCCCCACACCUGUCAUCCACACCAAGCAUUAACUCCCCAUCGCCAGCUGAUGACUCAAGAUUCCCAGGAGUUCUGCUCAUUCUAAUGAUGGCCCAUUCUACUUGCUCUGGACCUGCCCCCGCAUCCCCUGCCUCCAUCCUAGUAAAGACUCCUUGCUAUGC
This 270-nucleotide long non-coding RNA is filed under the name Homo sapiens (human). Its description in RNAcentral is "HSALNT0219486". The record is from RNAcentral. Lineage: Eukaryota; Metazoa; Chordata; Mammalia; Primates; Hominidae.